UACGAAGGGGGCUAGCGUUGCUCGGAAUCACUGGGCGUAAAGGGUGCGUAGGCGGGUCUUUAAGUCAGGGGUGAAAUCCUGGAGCUCAACUCCAGAACUGCCUUUGAUACUGAGGAUCUUGAGUUCGGGAGAGGUGAGUGGAACUGCGAGUGUAGAGGUGAAAUUCGUAGAUAUUGGGAAGAACACCGGUGGCGAAGGCGGGAUGCUGGGCCGACACUGACGCUGAGGCGCGAAAGCCAGGGGAGCGAACGGG
Molecule: ribosomal RNA, 253 nt
Filed under: uncultured bacterium
Lineage: Bacteria
Description: partial 16S ribosomal RNA
Rfam family: Bacterial small subunit ribosomal RNA
Source: RNAcentral